GCUGGUCCGCCGCUGCAGAAGGUCGCCCGGUCCACGCGUUCACCCCACUUGUCUUGCUUCUGGCGGAUACCACAGCCCUGUUGCCCCUCAUGAGCAUCAACAAAAUCGGUCUUUUUGCAAUGACGCCGCUGACGCUGCUAUGGCUGACGGCGCUGACGGGCGGUCUGGUGGCCGGGCAGCCGACGCCGCCCC
Schistocerca piceifrons (Central American locust) is the source of this 192-nucleotide long non-coding RNA. RefSeq lists it as uncharacterized. The record is from RefSeq and is a predicted model, not a curated record. NCBI's taxonomy places the organism in Eukaryota, Metazoa, Arthropoda, Insecta, Orthoptera, Acrididae. The transcript has 3 exons.